GAUGAACGCUAGCGGCAGGCUUAAUACAUGCAAGUCGAGGGGCAGCAGGUCCCGCAGCAAUGCGGGAUGCUGGCGACCGGCAAACGGGUGCGGAACACGUACAGAACCUUCCUUUAAGUGGGGAAUAGCCCGGGGAAACCCGGAUUAAUACCCCGUAACAUAAUGAAGUGGCAUCACUUUAUUAUUAUAGCAGCAAUGCGCUUGAAGAUGGCUGUGCGGCUGAUUAGGUAGUUGGCGGGGUAACGGCCCACCAAGCCCACGAUCAGUAACUGGUGUGAGAGCACGACCAGUCACACGGGCACUGAGACACGGGCCCGACUCCUACGGGAGGCAGCAGUAAGGAAUAUUGGGCAAUGGACGCAAGUCUGACCCAGCCAUGCCGCGUGGAGGAUGAAGGUCCUCUGGAUUGUAAACUUCCUUUAUCUGGGAAGAAAUCUAUUUUUUCUAAAGUAGUUGACGGUACCAGAUGAAUAAGCACCGGCUAACUCCGUGCCAGCAGCCGCCGUAA
This 508-nucleotide ribosomal RNA is filed under the name uncultured bacterium. Its description in RNAcentral is "partial 16S ribosomal RNA". It matches the Rfam family "Bacterial small subunit ribosomal RNA", at positions 28 to 523 of the family's 1533-position model. The record is from RNAcentral.